ACUGUCAAUCUUUUGUGAGAAACCCAUAAGAGCAGAAGAUGGGUCGCUCAGCAGCAGUACCUGGAUUUGGGAACUCAUUACUGGUGGAGAUUAGGAUGACCACAAAUCUCUCUGGCUUUAAAGCAAAGCAAAGCGAAAAACUUACUUCCUUGGCUUAGUUCUCACUUUUUCAUGUUCUCCAGAUGAAGGUGAGAAAGAAGAAGAGAGAGGAAAGAAGCAAAGGAAAAAGGAAGACUGAGAGAAGAAAGCAAACAGAGGGAAGAGAUGGGAAGAUGGUAGACAAUGCCCUUAGAAGGACCCUCACUGAGAGGAUAUUUUUCACUUAUCUAACUGUAGUUAAAUCAAGAAGUCAUGCUGAGCAGCAGUGUUUUCUUCAUGCAAAGAGAUGGUGAAAUUCAAGGUUUUACUUUUUCCAGCAGUGAAUCAGCAUAUUUGUCAGGCUCUGGGAGCUUACACAAAAAGUAAGUUUAGCAUCUUAAUAAUGUUCCUGUCUGUCCAUCCUAUCACAAAUUUUUGUUCAAUUUUCUCUU
This 530-nucleotide long non-coding RNA is filed under the name Numida meleagris (helmeted guineafowl). RNAcentral describes it as "lncRNA (ENSNMEG00000008723.1)". Lineage: Eukaryota; Metazoa; Chordata; Aves; Galliformes; Numididae. The record is from RNAcentral.